This 387-nucleotide RNase P RNA is filed under the name Buchnera aphidicola (Myzus persicae). Its description in RNAcentral is "RNase P RNA component class A". It matches the Rfam family "Bacterial RNase P class A". From Rfam's summary of the family: Ribonuclease P (RNase P) is a ubiquitous endoribonuclease, found in archaea, bacteria and eukarya as well as chloroplasts and mitochondria. Its best characterised activity is the generation of mature 5'-ends of tRNAs by cleaving the 5'-leader elements of precursor-tRNAs. The record is from RNAcentral. Lineage: Bacteria; Pseudomonadati; Pseudomonadota; Gammaproteobacteria; Enterobacterales; Erwiniaceae.
GAAGUUGACUAAACAGUCGCUGUUUAAUUUUUUAAAAAAAUUAAAAAGAGGAAAGUCCGGGCUCCAUAGAGCAGGGUGCCAGAUAACACCUGGAAAGCGUAAGCUUAUGACUAGUGCAACAGAAAAAAAACCACCUAUUUCUUUUUAUAGUAUUUAAUGUAAUUGAAAUACGGCCAGGGUGAAAAGGUGUGGUAAGAGCACACCGCAUAAUUGGUAACAAUUCAUGGCAUGGUAAACUUCCACCCGGAGCAAAGCCAAAUAUAGGAAAAUUUUUUUGUAUUGCUCGUACUAUGUAAACCUGGGUAGGCUGCUUGAAUUAGUAAGUGAUUGCUAAUCUAGAUGAAUGACUGUUUUAAACAGAACCCGGCUUAUAGGUCAACUUCAAUU